This is a long non-coding RNA of Heterocephalus glaber (naked mole-rat), 630 nucleotides long. Lineage: Eukaryota; Metazoa; Chordata; Mammalia; Rodentia; Bathyergidae. The record is from Ensembl.
CUCGUAGUUGUCCAAUUCUAAAUGGAGGGGUGGUCUCCUCUCUCAGGAAUUACAGGCGAUUUGGACAUGCUUUACAUAUAUGAUAGAUGAAAGAGACCACAAGCCCGAACAGAGGGGGAAAUGAUGCCUAAAUGAAGACCUGAGAAAGCACAACAGCAUUGCUUAUCAGCUUGAGUGAUAUUCCACUGGGGUUAAAUGGACAUCAGGGUUCCUGCACUGGAAGAAACAGACAAAGGGCAGAAGGAACACCAUGAGCAGCAGGUCAAACAAAGACAUCAAGACAUUUAAUAAAGGUUCUUGGACAAUGGAAGCUGCAAAGAAUUGAAAGAAUGUUAUUUCAUAUUAAAGUAAUAGGAAUACAGGUUGACAGUUUCUCCUUGGCAGUUCUGAAAUCUAAAAAAGGCACUGGUUUCUGAGAGAAACAACAGGGACACAAAUAGAAGAGGUGUGCUUUGAGCAAUUCAUGGAACAAAGCUUCCCCACAUCAACCCAGAUGGAGUAGAACUGUAUGGUCCUGAUAAUACCAGAAUCUAAAGGACACAGGGGUCUAAAUAGUGUCUCAGAGAUCUCAUUAGCAGAGUAAGAUUGAGCAUUUCUGAAAUCUCUAUGGAGAACAUCAUUGUUGGGGAC